Molecule: transfer RNA, 72 nt
Filed under: Cavia porcellus (domestic guinea pig)
Lineage: Eukaryota; Metazoa; Chordata; Mammalia; Rodentia; Caviidae
Rfam family: tRNA
About the family: Transfer RNA (tRNA) molecules are approximately 80 nucleotides in length. Their secondary structure includes four short double-helical elements and three loops (D, anti-codon, and T loops). Further hydrogen bonds mediate the characteristic L-shaped molecular structure. tRNAs have two regions of fundamental functional importance: the anti-codon, which is responsible for specific mRNA codon recognition, and the 3' end, to which the tRNAs corresponding amino acid is attached (by aminoacyl-tRNA synthetases). tRNAs cope with the degeneracy of the genetic code in two manners: having more than one tRNA (with a specific anti-codon) for a particular amino acid; and 'wobble' base-pairing, i.e. permitting non-standard base-pairing at the 3rd anti-codon position.
Source: Rfam by way of RNAcentral
AGGGGUGUAGCUUAGUGAUAGAGCACUUGCUUAACAUGCAUGAGACUCUGGGCUUGAUAACCAGCACCACAA